RNAcentral lists this ribosomal RNA (432 nucleotides) under uncultured bacterium. Its description in RNAcentral is "partial 16S ribosomal RNA". It matches the Rfam family "Bacterial small subunit ribosomal RNA", at positions 338 to 795 of the family's 1533-position model. The record is from RNAcentral.
CCUACGGGUGGCAGCAGUGGGGAAUCUUGCACAAUGGAGGAAACUCUGAUGCAGCGAUGCCGCGUGAGUGAAGAAGGCCUUUGGGUUGUAAAGCUCUUUUGUAGGGGAAGCUGUACCCUAAGAAUAAGGUCCGGCUAACUUCGUGCCAGCAGCCGCGGUAAUACGAAGGGACCUAGCGUAGUUCGGAAUUACUGGGCGUAAAGCGCGCGUAGGCCGUUGAGUUAGUUAAUUGUGAAAUCCCAAAGCUUAACUUUGGAACUGCAAUUAAAACUGCUCGACUAGAGUUUGAUAGAGGAAAGCGGAAUACAUAGUGUAGAGGUGAAAUUCGUAGAUAUUAUGUAGAACACCAGUUGCGAAGGCGGCUUUCUGGAUCAAACUGACGCUGAGGCGCGAAAGUAUGGGUAGCAAAGAGGAUUAGAUACCCUUGUAGUC